GGGGAUGUAGCUCAUUGGUAGGGCACUUGCCUAGCAUGUGCAAGGUCCUGGGUUCAAUCCCCAGCACUGCAA
This 72-nucleotide transfer RNA is filed under the name Marmota monax (woodchuck). It matches the Rfam family "tRNA". From Rfam's summary of the family: Transfer RNA (tRNA) molecules are approximately 80 nucleotides in length. Their secondary structure includes four short double-helical elements and three loops (D, anti-codon, and T loops). Further hydrogen bonds mediate the characteristic L-shaped molecular structure. tRNAs have two regions of fundamental functional importance: the anti-codon, which is responsible for specific mRNA codon recognition, and the 3' end, to which the tRNAs corresponding amino acid is attached (by aminoacyl-tRNA synthetases). tRNAs cope with the degeneracy of the genetic code in two manners: having more than one tRNA (with a specific anti-codon) for a particular amino acid; and 'wobble' base-pairing, i.e. permitting non-standard base-pairing at the 3rd anti-codon position. Lineage: Eukaryota; Metazoa; Chordata; Mammalia; Rodentia; Sciuridae. RNAcentral also lists the same sequence under 2 other names. The record is from Rfam by way of RNAcentral.